ACCGUGCGCCAUUGCAAAGAAGGGGGCCGCCACCGGAGAAAUUCCAUCUGUGUCGACGCCCUGUCUUCGGCGCACCGCUAGGAAGAAUCACCUGGACGCGUGGAAGUUGUCCGUGCCCUCGGGGUGAAGCCGGAGCGUUCCGAGGUGCGGGAAUUUCUCGUCGGAGGUGGAGGACCACCGCGGGGGACGCACGACUCCGUGGGCGACUUCACCGCCGCCACUACCGUCGGUGAGUACCUAAUUAGUUUGUCCCGAUUGUUCUCUUCGUUGCGUAGCGGGGCUUAGAUCGAAGAAUAGAGCAUGCAGGCGCCGAUUGGCAAUACCCGGCCAUGGGGUCGCCGCGGAACCAGUGCACGCCGUCGUGUUUGUUCGCUGAGGUUGCGGAUGGCUUCUGCGCCGUUGAUAGGAUAACCAACGUCCGUGAUUAGAAGGUAGAAAUAAACAUCUCAGCCGUUGGAUGAAGUCUAAACGGCUGUGAUCGUACAGAUUGAGUUAUUACGAGGGUUAGAUUUGGACCGUCCGAUCUAAUCGGACGCAGUCGGGUAAGGAAGUUGCAGAGCCAUCGAUCUCAGAUCCAAUGAUCAGCGUUACAUAUCGAUUCGGCCGAGGAUGCGUCUAAUCCUGGCGGUCGAUUAGCGAUCGGGCGAUCCGGAGCGCACGAUACCCUUUGGCCGUGCACUUUUUCUAAAGAAACCCCGCGAAAGAUAGGAAUCAACCCACGGUCCACUGGUCUAUUCUCUGUGUCUUAAGAAUUUGUACCACGAGACCCCUGCGCUUCACAGUAUUUGGGGCCCAGUCCACAGAACAGAAAACCAGAGAAAAUAAAUUAGACAAAGAUUUUUAGUGCAUAAAUAAUUGCUAGAACUUGUGUAAAUCAUAGAAAAUUCAUACUAACUCCAAAUUGAUCCAUUCCAGUUUCUAAAAUUUUGUAAUAUUAUUGUUUAUCACCUAGAGUCUCUGUUUUGACAUGAAAACAGUAAUAAAAUUAAUUUCUCAAUUAAUCAUAUAUCAAGCACAUAAAACCUUUGGAAAUUCAUAACUUAAAAUCCAUAACUCCAAAAUUUAUGAUUCCUGUUCCUAGGAUCUUAUUUUAAUGUGUAGAUUAUUAUUAUACAUUUUUUUACAUGUUUGGUGUGAUGUUAAUUUUCUCUAUAUACUGUGCUUGUUUGUAUUGUGGCGAAUAGAAGAGACAGUGGCUGAGGAUCCGGGUGCCCAGCAGAUAGAAGUUGCUGAGCAGGAGCUCAUUGAAGGCAAGUUGUGCCAUUGACCACUUUUUACCCAAUAAUGUUCUUUAAUAUCACUUAUUCAUGCAUAGGUUUAAUUUUGAUGGGACCCAAUAGGUCAUCCUAGUCUGUUUAUCCAUUUACCUUGUUUACCCCUGAAUCAUUUGAGUAGUUAUGUUAUUGCUUUACAUGGUUUUGGGUUAAUAUUUCAUUAUAUUUAUGUUCCAAUUAUUCUGUUAUUUUAUUUAUGUUCAUGUCAAGAUCAUUAUCUUUAAUUGGAACAUGUAGCUAAAUUUGGGAAACACGUGCCACCACAAUGGUGGAAUGGGACACCCUUGACUAACUAAUUAGGAAAACUAGUGGAAGACUACCUUACCCGAAAGGGGCAAGGGCAGUAGGGGAGUUGCAUGCAGGGAGGUUCUCGGGUUGAUUUUGCUGCGAUGGUGGUCAGACGAGGGAUUCUUGCAAGUAGAACUUUGUAAAGGCCUCGUAGUGUUGCCCUGCCUCACUUCCUUGGUAGAGGUGUAUGAGAGUUGUGAUCCCUUGGCAGAUGGGUAACAUGACUUGUGGGUACAGGGUACAACCUCUGCAGAGUGUAAAACUGGUAUACUAGUCGAGCUCACGGUCAUGAGCAGCUCGAACACUCACAUGGUUAAUUUAUGGAAUUAAAUUCAAUUUGUCAUUUCAAUCGCAUUGGGAUUAUUUUAUUAUUACUUUUACUUAUUAUUACUAUGGUUUGGUAUUUACUUACACUUAGUAACUGUUAAUAAAAUUUUGACCAACUUAUAAAAGCAAUGCUCAGCUUCAACCUUUAUUUUUUAUCACCCUUACACUUCACAUGAACUCCCACAUUUGGUUUGUUCAUGCAAAUUAUUCCCCACAACUUGUUGAACGAUGAACAUGUGUUAGAUCACCCUUGCUGUCUCACACCCCCCACAGGAGAAGAACAGGUGGUCGAGGAGGAGCCGCCUAACACUGAGGCUUUCUACUUGAUCUAGGUGGCGUCUCCCAGUCAGCUUUGUGGCGCCAGGGAAUAAUAUUUAGUUCGUUUUAUUUUAUCAUUUAUUUUGUAAGACUUCCACUAUGUAAUAAGUACUCUGAUGAUAUUGUGACAUUU
This 2340-nucleotide long non-coding RNA is filed under the name Zea mays. Its description in RNAcentral is "long non-coding RNA NONZMAT001278". Lineage: Eukaryota; Viridiplantae; Streptophyta; Magnoliopsida; Poales; Poaceae. The record is from RNAcentral.